Molecule: ribosomal RNA, 468 nt
Filed under: uncultured bacterium
Lineage: Bacteria
Description: partial 16S ribosomal RNA
Rfam family: Bacterial small subunit ribosomal RNA
Source: RNAcentral
GACGAACGCUGGCGGCGUGCUUAACACAUGCAAGUCGAACGGAAAGGCCCUGCUUUUGUGGGGUGCUCGAGUGGCGAACGGGUGAGUAACACGUGAGUAACCUGCCCUUGACUUGGGGAUAACUUCAGGAAACUGGGGCUAAUACCGGAUAGGAGCUCCUGCUGCAUGGGGGGGGUUGGAAAGUUUCGGCGGUUGGGGAUGGACUCGCGGCUUAUCAGCUUGUUGGUGGGGUAGUGGCUUACCAAGGCUUUGACGGGUAGCCGGCCUGAGAGGGUGACCGGCCACAUUGGGACUGAGAUACGGCCCAGACUCCUACGGGAGGCAGCAGUGGGGAAUAUUGCACAAUGGGCGGAAGCCUGAUGCAGCAACGCCGCGUGCGGGAUGACGGCCUUCGGGUUGUAAACCGCUUUCGCCUGUGACGAAGCGUGAGUGACGGUAAUGGGUAAAGAAGCACCGGCUAACUACGUG